This is a long non-coding RNA of Heterocephalus glaber (naked mole-rat), 5336 nucleotides long. The record is from Ensembl. NCBI's taxonomy places the organism in Eukaryota, Metazoa, Chordata, Mammalia, Rodentia, Bathyergidae.
GGUUGAGCACUGCCAAGAUGGCCUUCCGUUGUGAAAGUGCCUCGUCUCCAUCUCUUGUUUCUUGGAGAGCCACUUGUGCGUAAAAAAGAGCCAUGUCCUUCUUAAGACACAGCUGUGGCUUAGUCCUCAGUAUUAGGUAACAGUGCCAACAUCUCAUGUUCUAGCAGGCUGGACAUGCUGGCCUUGAAGAUUCGGAAAGCCGCCGCCAAACCACAUCCACUACCACUAGCUCUGGAGACCAUAAGGAAAGAUGGCAAACUCCCGGGGUUCUAGCAUCUGUGUUGUUUAAUGAUCUUUUUCUUGCAUGUCAACUUCCAUUAGCCCAGAAUGGAAGUGUCCAGAAGCUCCUGGAGGCCCUGGGUGCUCACCUGGUGCUGGGCACAAGGCGAGAACUAAAGUGAAAAGACAAAUUUUACAUUUUGAACAUUGACAAACAUACUGCUUUAAACUCAUUUAAAAUUCCAGUAAAUAACAUUGAAACACAAGAAAUGUUAUGGGAAUUUUCCUAAGCGUCAACCAUAGGCUAGCAAGGAGUAAAGGCCCACUUCCCUCAGACAUGGAAAAUGUGCACAUUCUGGAAUCUACACCACAGCAGCUCCCUCUCUGCAGCUGAGCCUGGGUUCUUCACAUCUUCCUCAUCCUCACUGUGACAAAUGAGAAAUGGCCAUUUUCUGGCAGCAUGCCUGAAGCCAUCUUUGGUGGUUAGAAGUAAAAAGAAAAAUAAGGUUUAGUAGUCUGUUCUGCUAGUUUUAAGGGCUUCAUAUGCUUCUCUGUAGAAUUUUAUUUCAAGUGGUUUAAUUUAAUGUAUCUUCUCUUUUAAAAAUUACAGAUCAUUGAAUAUGAAAAAAACAGACCCUGGGACAAAAUGAUACUGGGUUUAGUUGUGAUGGGACUUCUAACACAUUCAGAGUCAUGUUUAAGGAGCCUAUAGAAAUCCUGCCCAAUGUGUGCUACACAGCAUGUGCAACACUCAAAGGUCCGGAUUCCCACUAUGGCACAAAAGGGCUGAAGAAAGUUGUGCAUGAGACACCUGCCGCCAGCAAGACCGUCUUUCUUCUUCUUUAGUUCCCCUGGCAACAAUAAUGGCACUUCAAUAGAAGAUGGACAAAUACCAGAAAUAAUAUUUUAUACAUAAUUUAGCAUUAUAAUACAUCUUGGCUAAAUAGUACCUACCACACAAUCUAGACUCAGACAUAUAAAUAACUGGCCACAGAAAAAAGUUUGAGUAUCAAGAAUAUUUAUGAUUGGGCUGGGGAUUUAGCUCAGUGGUUCUGGCGCCUGCCUCGCAAGCACAAGUUCCUGAGUUCGAGCCCCAGUACCAGAAAAAAAAAAAAAUUUAUGAUUGUAAGAUAAGAAACAUUUUAGUUUCUUAGAAGAAAUAGAAAAAUGUUUAUUUAAAUCUCUGCAUGAUUUAAAGGCAUAUUUUCCACUUUUUUGUCACCUUAGGGGAAUAGAGGUAGGUUUGUGUAAAAAAAAUGCGGCUGUUUCAGCUGCUUCCUGUAUCAUUUCGUUGUCAACUGACUCAUGGUCUUUCAGUAGUUUUGGAAUUGAAAGAUUCUUGUUACACGUAGCCAGUCUGGUUUCUUUAUUUUUAAUUUUUGAAAGUAGAUGAGAUAGGUCAGUAUUCUUGCAGAAUUCCUAUUAAGUCAAAUAACUAAUUUCAGAAAAUUAGGAAAACUGGCUUUAUAUUUGAGAUUUAAAAAUAUCUGCUAGCUAACAUUUGGAAUAAUGCUAAAAAUAGGCCUAAUAAUGCCCAAGAAAAUUUUCAGUUUUUCUAUUCACAGAAAAGGAUAUUUUGUAAUAGUAUAGUAAUGCAGUACAUAGUAUAGUGUUCAAACUAAAUGGAUUUUGUAUACAUUCACAAUAAUGUGGUAUAUACAAAGUCUCUAAAGGUGUGACAUAAGCCUGGAUCUUUAUUUAUCAUUCAGCUGUAUCACCAUACCUGCCUGUCUGUCUGGGGUGCUGCUGAUGAGUCCCAAGACUGAGCUGAUGGUGGUGACUAAUGAUUGUUUAAAGAUACUGCUUCAACUGUGUGAUCAUCCCACAGAGCAAGAAAUGGAACACGGUUACUAACAUUUCUAACAGCUACUUUGAAAUUAUAAAGCUAUCCAACAGAGUCACUCCUGCCAAAAAGCUUUCUAUCACAUAGUUCUAUUCAAGAAGUAAAAUAUGUUUAAUAUUUGUGACCUCAUGAAUGUGACCAGCACAUCUAUAUUAGGAGGAAGUAGGAAAUACAUACAGUAGAGUGACAUUUAUACACUUUUAUAUACAGAUUUUUAAAAUACAACUUUUCCCUUGAAAGUGACUAUCCUAAAAAACUUGUGUAGUUUAAGCGUAAAAUAUAUCAGAUAUUUGUGGAUGAUAAAAAAAUUCUUUCAGAAUCAAGAGAAAUUUUGUAAAUAGGAAGUAAAAAUUUUUCAUCAAAAGUACUAUUUCAUUAUACAUUUUUAACAAGGUAGUAAGAUGUGUUGAUGGCCAUGGUCUCUUGAAAUUGAAGAAAAGGGAAAAUUUUCUGUCUCGUGUACCAUGUCCUUAUGGAUAUAACUCACUUUACGGGAAUAUCUAUGGAACGUGUAGGUCUGGUUAACUAAAGAUUAACUGGCAAACAUUCGGUAAUAACCAUUACCAAAAUACUUCAGCCUUUUAAAAUGUGGUAUGCCAGAGAUAAGUUAGAGAUUUUGGGGUUUGAGGCAUUUCACGUGCCUUCUGUGUUAUACUGAACACUUGUAACUGAAAGUAGCCAUAGAAGGUAUGUACUAGAAACAGCUCCACUGACAUCAGGAAAUCACCUGGAACUUUACAAAAAUAAAUGUAUGUUAUCCUUUGUUUAGUUUGUCAUUUGUCCUUCUAAAAGUUGAAUGUAAGACACCAUUGUGGAACAAAGGUUUUAGUUAAUUGGGGUUUGUUUUUAAUUUACAGAAGUAAUGAAACAAAAUAAUGCAUUACUUCUGCUGGAAACAAGUCAUAGGAACUGCAGCAGUGUAACAAUCAUCUCACGAUUGCUUAUUAGUAAUUACAGUAACCUGAAUGACUGCUAUGCAUCCGGCUGUGUGAUGUGUACUUUAUAUGCACUGAAACAGUGGUAUUAGGAUUAUUACAAUACCAGCUUUAUAGGCACAUUGUUUUAUUAUUUGGAGCUGUAAAAUUUUUACUUUGAUUUUAACUUUAAUCUUUGGAGACAAGGUCUUGUUAUGUAGUUCAGGCUGGCCUGAACUCGCUUGAUCCUCCUGCCAACAGCCUCCUAAGUGCUGGAAUUAACAGUCGUGCCAACAUGCCCACCUUUUAAAAUUUUCAUUAGUACAUGUUUUCAGUACAUAAUGAUUAUACUUGUGAGGAGUUGGUACAGGUUCAUAACACAUCUUCGUUUUUCAUCCCCUUCCUCUCCCCUCUCCCACUCCCUCCAUCUCUUGGUCCCCUUUUGCAAAAGAUCUCCCUAUCUCUUUUAUACUUUCGGUGUAUGAAAAACCUUUUGAUAUUUAAACUUAGAUGCCUGGUUUGUUUGACUUAACCUUAUGGGUUCAAGGUACAUCCAUUUUCUUACAAAUGGAGCAAAAAUUUUGGGGGGGCGGUACUGGGGAUCAAACUCAGGACCUUGCGCUUGCAAGGCAGGCAGCAGAACCAUUGAGCUAAAUCUCAGGCCCCAAAUGACACAAAUUUAUCUGCAGUGUGGUACUCCAUUAUGUAUAAAUACAUUUUUAAAACUCCACUUAUUGAUGGACAUUUAGGCCACGCCCAAGGUGCAUUAUAAGUUGUGCUGCUAUAAACAUGGGUAUGCAUGUAUCAUUGUAAUAUGUUUUUAACUCUGGGGAAGAUACCUAAAAGAAUAGCUGGGUUGGAUGGGAUUUCUCAUUUUGGGUUCUUUUGAGGAAUCUCCAUACUGAUUUCCAUUAAGUGGUUGUACUAGUCUACAUUCCCACCAACAAUGGAGAGGCGUUCCUCCACCUCCUGAAACCCCAUCAGCAGUUAUUUAUUUCUGGAUGAUAGCCAUUCUUUCUGGAGUAAGAUCUAAUCUGUUUUAAUUUGCAUUCCGUAAAAGGCCAGAGGAGAUGAACAUUUUUUUUUUCUGUAUUGGCCAUUUGUACUUCUGAGAAAUGUGUUUGUUUGGAUUUAUUGAUUGGAUCUUUUAGGAGUCUAAUUUUUAAUUCUUUACAUAUUUUAGAUAUUAGUCCUGAGGAGUAGCUGGCAAAAUUCCCAUUCUGUAGGUUGUCUCUUCACUGUUGGAUGUUUGCUUUGCUGUGUAGAAGCUUUUUGAUUUCAUAGAAUCCCAUUUGUCGAUUCUUGAUGUUAUUUUUUAGGCAACUGGGGUUCUGUUCAGAAAGAAUCUAUGACCACAAGAGUUUUACGUAUUUUAUUUGCCAGCAGGUUAAACUUUUCUGUUUUAACAUUUAGAUAUUUGAUCCAUUUUGAUUUUAGUUUAGUACAUAGAAAUAUGGGACUAGAUCCAAUCUGCGCGUGGAUAGCCAGUUUUCCGGCACCAUUUGUUAAGGAGGUGAUCUUUUCUCCAGUGUACAUCUUUGGCCCCUUUGUCAAAGACCAGGUAGCUGAGUGAAGUUAUUUCUGCAUGCUUAAUUUUGAUCCAUUGAUCCACAUGUCUGUUUUUGUACCUGUACCAUGGUGUUUUAUCACUGUAGCUUUGUAAUAUAACUUGAAAUCUGAGAUUGUGAUACCGCUUGCUUUGCUCUUGCUUAGGACUGCUUUUGCUAAUCUAGGUCUCUUCUGGUUCCGUACAAAUUUUAGGAUUGUUUUCUCUAGUUCUGUGAGGAGUGCUGUUGGUAUUUUGAUUGGUAUUACAUUAAAUCUGUGUAUCAGUUUUGGAAGUAUGACCAUUUUGACAAUGUCAGUUCUCCCUAUCCAGAAACAUAUCCUUCAAUUUUCUGAUGCUCUUUUCUAUCUCCUUUUUUAGAAUACUAUAGUUUUCAUUGUAAAGGUCUUUUAUUUUCUUGGUUAGGUUACUUAAGUACUUAAUUUUUCUUGAUGAUACUGUGAAUGGUAGUGUUUUUCAAAUUUCUUUCUUGGUGAGUUCAUUAUUUUUUUAGAGAACAUUUGAUUUUUACAUGUUGUUACAUUGCUAAAUUUGGUUAUUCUAGGAGUCUUGGUAGAAUGUCUUGGUCUUUUAUGUAAAGGAUCAUGUCAUCUGCAAAUAAUGAUAAUUUUACUUCCUCUUUUCUUAUAUGUAUCCCUUUUCUUUUGCCUGACUGCUCUGAUGUUUUGAGUAGACAUUCCUUGUUUAAUGACCAAGUUAUGUUCCUGCAAUUGGGUUAGUAAAUGAAUUGGUCGUACCAAAUGAGGAAUAUAAUGUAUGUAUUAUAUAGUAUUACACAAUAUUCAGAACAAAG